UUCCUUCUACAGAUGAGAUUAAUUCCACUAAAUUUCAGAAUGAAUGGAGACAUCAUGGAUCACUGGGAAAAGGAAAGUAGCAGUGAAGAGCUCAUUCUUG
This is a long non-coding RNA of Eptesicus fuscus (big brown bat), 100 nucleotides long. RefSeq lists it as uncharacterized. The record is from RefSeq and is a predicted model, not a curated record. The transcript has 3 exons. NCBI's taxonomy places the organism in Eukaryota, Metazoa, Chordata, Mammalia, Chiroptera, Vespertilionidae.